RNAcentral lists this ribosomal RNA (239 nucleotides) under uncultured Lactobacillus sp. Its description in RNAcentral is "partial 16S ribosomal RNA". It matches the Rfam family "Bacterial small subunit ribosomal RNA", at positions 125 to 354 of the family's 1533-position model. Lineage: Bacteria; Bacillati; Bacillota; Bacilli; Lactobacillales; Lactobacillaceae. The record is from RNAcentral.
CCGUAGCCCAAGAGAUCGGGAUAACACCUGGAAACAGAUGCUAAUACCGGAUAACAACAGAUGAUGCCUAUCAACUGUUUAAAAGAUGGUUCUGCUAUCACUCUUGGAUGGACCUGCGGUGCAUUAGCUAGUUGGUAGGGUAACGGCCUACCAGGGCGAUGAUGCAUAGCCGAGUUGAGAGACUGAUCGGCCACAUUGGGACUGAGACACGGCCCAAACUCCUACGGGAGGCAGCAGGC